RNAcentral lists this ribosomal RNA (761 nucleotides) under Prevotella melaninogenica. Its description in RNAcentral is "bacterial SSU rRNA". It matches the Rfam family "Bacterial small subunit ribosomal RNA", at positions 28 to 776 of the family's 1533-position model. Lineage: Bacteria; Pseudomonadati; Bacteroidota; Bacteroidia; Bacteroidales; Prevotellaceae. The record is from RNAcentral.
GAUGAACGCUAGCUACAGGCUUAACACAUGCAAGUCGAGGGGAAACGGCAUUUAGUGCUUGCACUGAAUGGACGUCGACCGGCGCACGGGUGAGUAACGCGUAUCCAACCUUCCCAUUACUGUGGGAUAACCUGCCGAAAGGCAGACUAAUACCGCAUAGUCUUCGAUGACGGCAUCAGAUUUGAAGUAAAGAUUUAUCGGUAAUGGAUGGGGAUGCGUCUGAUUAGCUUGUUGGCGGGGUAACGGCCCACCAAGGCGACGAUCAGUAGGGGUUCUGAGAGGAAGGUCCCCCACAUUGGAACUGAGACACGGUCCAAACUCCUACGGGAGGCAGCAGUGAGGAAUAUUGGUCAAUGGGCGAGAGCCUGAACCAGCCAAGUAGCGUGCAGGAUGACGGCCCUAUGGGUUGUAAACUGCUUUUGUAUGGGGAUAAAGUCAAUCACGUGUGAUUGUUUGCAGGUACCAUACGAAUAAGGACCGGCUAAUUCCGUGCCAGCAGCCGCGGUAAUACGGAAGGUCCAGGCGUUAUCCGGAUUUAUUGGGUUUAAAGGGAGCGUAGGCUGGAGAUUAAGUGUGUUGUGAAAUGUAGACGCUCAACGUCUGAAUUGCAGCGCAUACUGGUUUCCUUGAGUACGCACAACGUUGGCGGAAUUCGUCGUGUAGCGGUGAAAUGCUUAGAUAUGACGAAGAACUCCGAUUGCGAAGGCAGCUGACGGGAGCGCAACUGACGCUUAAGCUCGAAGGUGCGGGUAUCGAACAGG